Molecule: unclassified non-coding RNA, 305 nt
Filed under: plant metagenome
Description: partial contains 5.8S ribosomal RNA, internal transcribed spacer 2, and large subunit ribosomal RNA
Rfam family: 5.8S ribosomal RNA (bases 1-105)
Source: RNAcentral
GAAAUGCGAUAAGUAGUGUGAAUUGCAGAAUUCAGUGAAUCAUCGAAUCUUUGAACGCACAUUGCGCCCCUCGGCAUUCCGUGGGGCAUGCCUGUUCGAGCGUCAUCUACACCCUCAAGCUCUGCUUGGUGUUGGGCGUCUGUCCCGCCUCCGCGCGCGGACUCGCCCCAAAUGCAUUGGCAGCGGUUCCUUGCCCCCCUCUUUGCGCAGCACAUUGCCAUUCGAGGCGGCGGCGGCCCGCGUCCAACAAGCUCAACCCCCCCGUCUUUGACCUCGGAUCAGGUAGGGAUACCCGCUGAACUUAA